CUUUCCUGCCCUCGCAGUUUUCAAGCCACUUUCAAGCUCUUUGGGAAAGUUCAGUCACUAUCACUUGCAUAAACAUGGCAUGAAUGCAUGAACAUAACCAAAGAUCGCAUAUACAGAAAUCUUAUGGAUCAUGACUUGGAAGCAUCAAACUUCAGCACUGGGCUCAGCAGGUUGCCUUGUAAGGACAACAUGGAACCUGAAUCUGCCACCAGCAUACGACAGUGUGUGUACACUGCCCCUUAAUGUCUGACUUCAGGAGAUGGGAGGCUGUGCCCACCUUUCCCUUACCCUUGCAGGCUCAGGUUGAGCUCAGAAACUACAGAUCCCACCAGCUCUUGCAGCAGGAGACACCGUGAGGAUGAACAGAUGUGCUAGGCUUUCUGAGGCAUCUCCAGGGUCUAAGUCCCCUGUCUGUGCAUCACAAAGAAAUUCUCUAAUGUUAUUUGUCCCAGAGUUCAGAAACAGUGUCACAGAAUAUGUGAUAUCUGUUUGCAUUGCACUGCAAUAGUGGCAUUUUGCUGUCUUCUCCACUAAAGCUACAGUAUCCUUGAGGAACCUGGUGUAUGGAGGGAAGAGACUAGGAAGCAAGGGUCAUGGACUUGAGAUCCAAGUAUUUGUGUCAAGCAAUCUGAUGUGUGAAGAAGAAAGAAAUAAGCUGUCACAGUCUUACAUGGGGACUGUGUAUUCUGAGCCCCUAUUGUUGUUGUUUUUUUUUUUUUUUUCCACUUAAUCUUUCCCCAUAUUGUGGUGCUUUCAAGGCCGCUAUGAUGUUCAGGGAUUGAGAAUGUCUUAUCUGCUCCAAAAUAGGUCUGCAAUAUUUCCACAAGAGCACUUGAAGAAAGCUGCAAGACAUUGUAUCACAAUUUUUCCAUGCUUGGUUUGAAGUUUAGGGCCUUCAAUUUACAGAGGACUGCAUCCUUCACAUCUCCAAAAUGUGGCUCAAAUUGGUAGUCCACUUUGUUCCACUGCUUCUCUACACACAGGAAGUCUCUCAGAGGAAGCCAGACUCAUCGUUAUAUGAAACAAAGAGUGUUUCAUCUGUGGCAACAAGAAGGAAGCAACACUGAAAAUGAAUUGUCAUUGCAUAGAAGUCAAAACACUCAUUGAUUUUUGUGGAGCCCUUGUUUCACCUAUGCAAAACUAAGUCCUGCAAGAAAAAGAAAUCUAUGAAGUUCUGUAAUAAAUUCUAUUUUGCAAAAUACAGUCCUCAAAGAUAAAUCCUAUUUUUUCCUACAGUAACUUUAUUACCAAUAAAAAGCACUGGCAGAACU
Molecule: long non-coding RNA, 1271 nt
Organism: Gallus gallus (chicken)
Lineage: Eukaryota; Metazoa; Chordata; Aves; Galliformes; Phasianidae
Source: Ensembl